GANGACGCUUAUGGUAUGCUUUCACAUGCAAGUUUAAUGAAAAAAAAAAUAAGUAUUUUUGAUAUUUAAAGUAUUUUUUUUAUUUUAUAGCGAACGGGUGAGUAAAAACUUUUUUUUACCAAUCAAUUUAAGAAAUCUGUGCAAUAUAGAAAUCUUAGAUAAAAAAAUUUUUUUAGAAAAAUUUAUAAAAGACAAUUUGUUGUUGGUUGAUGAAAAAAGAAAGUAUUAGGUUGUUGGUUUUCCAAGCCGAANAUGCUUAGUUGGUCUGAGAGGAUGUACAACCACAUUGGGACUGAGACAAGGCCCUGACUUUUAAAGGCUGCAGNGGGGAAUAUUGGACAAUGAGAGAAAUCUUGAUCCAGCAAAAUCAGAUGGUAGGACGCCGACCCAAGAAGGCUGUAAGAGUAUUCAGGCGAGGUUGUAAAUAUCUAAUAAAAAAAAAGAUGAUGACUUUUUUUUANAANAGUCCCGGUAAACUUCGNGCCAGCAGCCGCGGUAAUACNAAGGGGGCAAGCGUUAUUCAAAAAAACUGGGCGUAAAGGGNUUUCANAUGGUAUAAAGAGAGUUAUUAGCGAAAUUUUUUANUUAAGGUAAAAAUUGUCUAANAAAACAUUUAAACUUUGGAGUAGCAAGNGGAUAGGAUUUAUUUUUUUAGUUGAGGGGGCAUUCGUCUAUAAAAAAAGGAGGAUCUUGGGNGAAAACAUCCUNAUUGUUUGCGUACUGACGUCNAUAAAGCAAAAGCAUAGGGAGCAAACAGGAUUAGAUAUCNNGGUAGUCUAUGCCCUGACCGAUGGGUAUNAAAA
This 803-nucleotide ribosomal RNA is filed under the name uncultured bacterium. RNAcentral describes it as "partial 16S ribosomal RNA". It matches the Rfam family "Bacterial small subunit ribosomal RNA", at positions 29 to 821 of the family's 1533-position model. The record is from RNAcentral.